Non-coding RNA from Volvox carteri f. nagariensis, 46 nucleotides. Lineage: Eukaryota; Viridiplantae; Chlorophyta; Chlorophyceae; Chlamydomonadales; Volvocaceae. The record is from Rfam.
UACCCGGUGUUUUUCAACACCACCAUUUAUUCCAAUUGUGAUAAUU